RNAcentral lists this ribosomal RNA (1001 nucleotides) under Lactiplantibacillus plantarum. RNAcentral's name for it is "bacterial SSU rRNA". It matches the Rfam family "Bacterial small subunit ribosomal RNA", at positions 382 to 1374 of the family's 1533-position model. The record is from RNAcentral. Lineage: Bacteria; Bacillati; Bacillota; Bacilli; Lactobacillales; Lactobacillaceae.
UCUGAUGGAGCAACGCCGCGUGAGUGAAGAAGGGUUUCGGCUCGUAAAACUCUGUUGUUAAAGAAGAACAUAUUCUGAGAGUAACUGUUCAGGUAUUGACGGUAUUUAACCAGAAAGCCACGGCUAACUACGUGCCAGCAGCCGCGGUAAUACGUAGGUGGCAAGCGUUGUCCGGAUUUAUUGGGCGUAAAGCGAGCGCAGGCGGUUUUUUAAGUCUGAUGUGAAAGCCUUUCGGCUCAACCGAAGAAGUGCAUCGGAAACUGGGAAACUUGAGUGCAGAAGAGGACAGUGGAACUCCAUGUGUAGCGGUGAAAUGCGUAGAUAUAUGGAAGAACACCAGUGGCGAAGGCGGCUGUCUGGUCUGUAACUGACGCUGAGGCUCGAAAGUAUGGGUAGCAAACAGGAUUAGAUACCCUGGUAGUCCAUACCGUAAACGAUGAAUGCUAAGUGUUGGAGGGUUUCCGCCCUUCAGUGCUGCAGCUAACGCAUUAAGCAUUCCGCCUGGGGAGUACGGCCGCAAGGCUGAAACUCAAAGGAAUUGACGGGGGCCCGCACAAGCGGUGGAGCAUGUGGUUUAAUUCGAAGCUACGCGAAGAACCUUACCAGGUCUUGACAUACUAUGCAAAUCUAAGAGAUUAGACGUUCCCUUCGGGGACAUGGAUACAGGUGGUGCAUGGUUGUCGUCAGCUCGUGUCGUGAGAUGUUGGGUUAAGUCCCGCAACGAGCGCAACCCUUAUUAUCAGUUGCCAGCAUUAAGUUGGGCACUCUGGUGAGACUGCCGGUGACAAACCGGAGGAAGGUGGGGAUGACGUCAAAUCAUCAUGCCCCUUAUGACCUGGGCUACACACGUGCUACAAUGGAUGGUACAACGAGUUGCGAACUCGCGAGAGUAAGCUAAUCUCUUAAAGCCAUUCUCAGUUCGGAUUGUAGGCUGCAACUCGCCUACAUGAAGUCGGAAUCGCUAGUAAUCGCGGAUCAGCAUGCCGCGGUGAAUACGUUCC